This 459-nucleotide ribosomal RNA is filed under the name uncultured bacterium. Its description in RNAcentral is "partial 16S ribosomal RNA". It matches the Rfam family "Bacterial small subunit ribosomal RNA", at positions 338 to 795 of the family's 1533-position model. The record is from RNAcentral.
CCUACGGGCGGCAGCAGUGAGGAAUAUUGGUCAAUGGCCGGGAGGCUGAACCAGCCAAGUCGCGUGAGGGAAGACGGCCCUACGGGUUGUAAACCUCUUUUGUCAGGGAGCAAGGUGCAGGUCGGGACCUGCUGUGAGCGUACCCGAAGAACAAGCAUCGGCUAACUCCGUGCCGGCAGCCGCGGUAUUACGGAGGAUGUGAGCGUUAUCCGGGUUUAUUGGGGUAAAAGGGUGCGCAGGCGGAGGCACAAGUCAGCGGGAAACUCGCGGGGCUAAACCCCGCUUCGCAGUUGAAACUGUGUCCCUUGAGUGCGCGAAGGGUAGGCGGAAUGCGUGGUGUAGCGGUGAAAUGCAUAGAUAUCACGAAGAACUCCGAUCGCGAAGGCAGCCUACCGGCGCGCAACUGACGCUCAUGCACGAAAGCGUGGGUAUCGAACAGGAUUAGAUACCCUUGUAGUC